AUGCAUUUAACCCACACUGCUUCGUUUUGGCCCAGAUUCUUCUCUAUGUCUCUUCUUGUGUCCCUGAGGAACCCCGGGGGAAAUAAGGCACAUUCCACUUCAAGUCACUCUCCCUCCUGCCAGUCACUUCCCCUCGGCACGUUUGUUUUGCUGGAGGCCUGCUUUCUUCCCUGGGAACCCGGAGGAACAAUGAGCGGUGGCCACGCCCCCGGGGCCCCGCCCCCAUCCUGGACCGCUUCCUCAGCUUCCCCUUGCUCACGCUUGACCCCGGCGGAGACUGCGUUGGAGGCCCCUCCAGCUCGCCUACCAAGUGCGUCAAUCACUUGUUUACUUGCUUUUCCUGCCUGGCUCUGGGGGUUCCGCUGGCUAUUUCUUCCCUCUGGAGGUUCUCCUGAGGUCUUCGGUUACCCACCAAGCAUGGACCCUGCUGGCUUCAUAAUCUCAGUUGCCCAUGUUGACUAAGGGUCUACAAUGGGCCAAGUACUGGAUACAGGUCAAGAAAAACAAAACGCAGGUUGGAAGGAGGCCGGAUACUGGAUGGGCAUAGCCUCACUCCCCCUCCCUCAUGUUCACCUUACUAAAGAAGCAGUAAUGGCUCCCCAGCGUGCAGAGCACUGAAAUGACUAACAGCUGAGCAGGCAGCAACCAAGCAGAGCAGGGCCCUGGCUGUGUUCCCACCGCUAAGUCAUGCAGAAGAGGCCAUCUUUACCUCCUCCGAGCCUCCACAGCAGCUAAUGCUAUUAGGAUAAAAGAUGGGUCCAUUUGGGCCCUAAACCUUGAUGUUCAGGUACUCUACAAGGUCAGUGACUGGAGAGAAAAUGCAAAAGCUGAAGCAGGAGUUUCCAGAGAAGAGGCUGAGCAGCUGUCAAGAAUCAAGAAAUACACCACUCUGGGCAUGUAUGCAUAUUUUAACCAAACAGUCUAUUUCUUCAAAGGACUGCAAAGGGCAAAAGCUUGCCUUCCUUCUAACUUUAUUCCCACACAUCACAGGAGCAAGCUUGCCUGAAACAUAGCAGCUAUUGCUUUCUUUAUUCUCAAUUUGCAAAGAGAUUCUUCCCCAGAUACUUUCAGAAAAAAUUAAGGAGAGUUUGAGGAUGGGAUUGGCAUACAGAGUAUCUUUCCUAUAAUUCUGUGGGCUUUGUCUGAUCAUCUGUCCUGCAAGUUGUAGGAGGCAUUUCUCAGAGCAUCAAUGCUAAGCAAAAUAGAACUCAAAAUAGAACAAUGUGAGGCGUAUCUGGUGGGUGGAAAACUGUCAUAACCUGAGAUUUUGGAAAUUACAGGGAGUUAAGGAGAUGCAGAAGAGGGUAAUAAGGAUGUUUCAGAUAAUGGGAUCAGACAGGACUGACAGCAGAGACUGCUGGGCUCUUCUGGACCACAAGAUCCCUAUAGUUGGGUUGGGAAUGAGGGACACAAAAAGGCAAAACUCAAACCAGCAGUAGCUAUUAAACCAAAGCAAGUUCUGACCAUUAAGCCAAGAGCAGGGAGGGGCUCAUGUGCCAAUAUUUUCUAAUGCAAAUGCAAAAUGGACUAUCAUCAGAAAUAUUUAUUGUCAACAGCAAUGCCCAGGAAUUAUAUAACCUCAUCAACUUUCUUCCUCUGGCCUGUUUCCCCAUAUUUAAAUCUGAAGUCAUACUACUCCCCAGUCUCAGUUGGUGACCCUCCUUUGCUUCCUCAGACCUCCAUGUGUAAUUUUCUAUUAAUGUGUCUGCCUCUCCAACUAGACCAUAAACUCCUAUGGGAUGGGACUGUAUUUUAUUCCUCUGUGGCCUCAAAGCCUGGCACAGAACAUGGCUUGUAGCAGGUGUUCAAUCAACAUUUAUGGACUGAAUAGUCUCCAAAGUCCCAGGAGGACAGAAUCAUAGAAUGACUAGAUUCUGUCCUCCACAGAGUUCACAUGAAGUGUUGGCCUAGUUGCUUCCCUAGGAGCUGUCCGGAUCAGGCUACUUCAGUUGAAACACUGUGGCCUCCCUUCCCCUUCUUUUCUUUUCAGUUCAGUUCAGUUCAGUAGCUCAGUCAUGUCCAACUCUUUGUGACCCCAUGAGUCGCAGCACACCAAGCUUCCCUGUCCAUCACCAACUCCCGGAGUUUACCCAAACUCAUGUGCAUCAAGUCGGUGAUGCCAUCCAGCCAUCUCAUCCUCUGUUGUCCCCUUCUUCUCCUGCCCCCAAUCCCUCCCAGCAUCGGGGUCUUUUCCAAUGAGUCAACUCUUCACAUAAGGUGGCCAAA
This 2226-nucleotide long non-coding RNA is filed under the name Capra hircus (goat). RNAcentral's name for it is "lncRNA (ENSCHIG00000007745.1)". The record is from RNAcentral. Lineage: Eukaryota; Metazoa; Chordata; Mammalia; Artiodactyla; Bovidae.